RNAcentral lists this ribosomal RNA (253 nucleotides) under uncultured bacterium. Its description in RNAcentral is "partial 16S ribosomal RNA". It matches the Rfam family "Bacterial small subunit ribosomal RNA", at positions 524 to 776 of the family's 1533-position model. The record is from RNAcentral.
UACGGAGGGUGCAAGCGUUAUCCGGAUUCACUGGGUUUAAAGGGUGCGUAGGUGGGUCUGUAAGUCUGUGGUGAAAUCUCCGAGCUUAACUUGGAAACUGCCAUGGAUACUAUAGGUCUUGAAUACUGUGGAGGUUAGCGGAAUAUGUCAUGUAGCGGUGAAAUGCUUAGAUAUGACAUAGAACACCAAUUGCGAAGGCAGCUGGCUACAUAAAUAUUGACACUGAGGCACGAAAGCGUGGGGAUCAAACAGG